AGGACGAACGCUGGCGGCGUGCUUAACACAUGCAAGUCGAGCGAACCUUCGGGUUAGCGGCGAACGGGUGAGUAACACGUGGGCAACCUGCCCCGAGCUCUGGGAUAACUCCGGGAAACCGGGGCUAAUACCGGAUAUGACCCGAGAAGACAUCUUCUCGGGUGGAAAGUUUUUCGGCUCGGGAUGGGCCCGCGGCCUAUCAGCUUGUUGGCGGGGUAACGGCCCACCAAGGCGACGACGGGUAGCC
Molecule: ribosomal RNA, 247 nt
Filed under: uncultured bacterium
Lineage: Bacteria
Description: partial small subunit ribosomal RNA
Rfam family: Bacterial small subunit ribosomal RNA
Source: RNAcentral